UCAACUUGCAACAUUGGGACACAUGCGAACGUCCGUCGAUUCCUCCGAUUGCGUGUGCCCCGCUCCACCGCGCCCCCUCUCCGCCCACGCCCCCUUCGGCGAGAACGAGACAAAACAACAACAAAGCCCGGACAGCACACAAACGUAUAGAAAUGAUAUGAAAACAGGUCAUUGCCUUAAUGGAUCUCGACUCGCCUCCGCCACACUUCCAGAUACAGAUACAAAUGUAUCUGUAGAGUACGCCUGUGUGGAUAUGGCUGUGGAUGCAAACGAAGACUGCGAAAGGAACGAAACGAAUCGAAACGAACGGAGAAACGCUGCCUGCAUACAAAACUAAAGAAGAAAAAAACUGAGAACUAAAAACGAAGAAGGCACACACAGAUACUCACACACACCGGGAAAUCAACGAUAAAGAUUUAAGCAAAUAAUCAAAUGCAUAAACAAGAAAGGGGUAAAAAGAUAUUAAAUUCACAAAGGCAACUUUAAAAUACUCUUUUCUUUUUGCAUAAUUAUCAAAAGUUAUUAAAAUCAAUAUAAGUU
Drosophila melanogaster (fruit fly) is the source of this 540-nucleotide non-coding RNA. The record is from Ensembl. Lineage: Eukaryota; Metazoa; Arthropoda; Insecta; Diptera; Drosophilidae.